RNAcentral lists this ribosomal RNA (1275 nucleotides) under Triticum aestivum (bread wheat). Its description in RNAcentral is "partial small subunit ribosomal RNA". The record is from RNAcentral. Lineage: Eukaryota; Viridiplantae; Streptophyta; Magnoliopsida; Poales; Poaceae.
AUGGAGGUGGAGCUCCCCGCCCGCGCCUCCUCCUCCCAGGCCAAGGCGAGGGAGACGCCGCCGCCCUCCCCGGCGGCUUCCGCUCCCGCCACCGCCGCAUCACCCGCGGAGGACGCGCCUCUCCUCCCGGGCGAGGGUGUCGUGCGGCGGCGCGCGGUGAGGGAGCGGUUCGCGGCGCGCAGCCUCUCCUUCCGCCGGGACGUCGGCCACGCGGCCUCCGAGACCUUCCUCCUCACCCGGCUCACGCUCACCCUUCUCCGCUACCUCGGGGUAGGCUACAGAUGGAUUCGUCAGUUCCUAGCUCUCUGUUGUUAUGCUCUAUUGCUCAUGCCUGGUUUUAUUCAAGUUUUAUAUUAUUACUUCUUCUCAAGCCAAGUUCAUAGAAGUGUUGUAUAUGGAGAGCAACCAAGAAACAGAUUGGAUUUGUAUAUACCAGCUGGCACGACAGGGUUGAAGCCAGUUGUGGCAUUUGUCACUGGUGGAGCAUGGAUCAUAGGGUACAAAGGGUGGGGUGCCCUUUUAGGCAGACGGUUAGCAGAAAGGGGCAUUUUAGUUGCAUGCAUUGAUUACAGAAACUUCCCUCAGGGGACUAUUGGUGACAUGGUAGAAGAUGUAUCCCGAGGAAUCUCUUUUGUCUGCAACAAUAUAGCUAGUUACGGAGGUGAUCCUGAAAGGAUUUAUCUUGUUGGACAAUCUGCUGGUGCACAUAUUGCUGCUUGUACUCUCGUAAAUCAGGCUAUCAGCGAAUGUGGCGAAGAUACUUCCACUUGGAGUGUUGUGCAACUAAAAGCAUACUUUGGUAUUUCUGGCGGUUAUAAUCUUCUUAACUUGCUUGAUCAUUUCCAUAGGCGUGGUCUGUACCGGUCCGUCUUUCUCAGCAUUAUGGAAGGUGAGGAAUCAUUGAAGAAGUUUUCUCCAGAAGUGGUGGUUAAGGAGGUAGCUGUUAGAUCUGCAGUUUCUCUAUUGCCUCGUAUCAUCCUUUUUCAUGGGACAGCUGACUGUUCAAUGCCCUCUGCAGAAAGUGAAGCAUUCCUUGAUGCUUUACAACAGCGUGGUGCUAGAGCGGAUCUAUUCUUAUAUGAAGGAAAGACACAUACUGAUUUAUUUCUUCAGGAUCCUCUUCGGGGUGGUAGGGAUAAGAUGCUGGAAGAGAUUGUGGCCGUGAUACAGAAUGACGACCCAGGGCUGUCCGCGCAGCACCUUGCCGUGCCCGUCGCACGCCGUCUUGUUCCUGAAUUCAUGCUGAGGCUUGCUGGGAGAGUGAGCCCUUUCUGA